ACGGCUGGCCACAAGGAUGGCAGGCUUCGCGGAGCUCGGGCUGUCAUCGUGGCUCGUGGAACAAUGUCGGCAGCUGGGUUUGAAGCAGCCCACGCCCGUGCAGCUCGGCUGCAUCCCAGCCAUCCUGGAGGGUCGAGACUGCUUGGGCUGUGCCAAGACAGGCAGUGGGAAGACAGCAGCAUUUGUCCUUCCCAUCUUGCAGAAGCUGUCUGAGGAUCCCUAUGGCAUCUUCUGCCUCGUCCUGACACCCACCAGGGGUCCUGCAGAGUUAAACAAGAUGGCCCGGGUGCAGUGGCUCACACCUGUAAUCCCAGCACUUUGGGAGCUCCAGGGAGCUGGCCUACCAGAUCGCAGAGCAGUUCCGGGUUCUGGGGAAGCCUCUAGGGCUGAAAGACUGCAUCAUCGUCGGUGGCAUGGGUAUGGGAGCUGGGAGGCGGGGGAAGCCCCAGCAUGGGACCCUAACAGCUUUGGACCACCUGCCCAGCCCUGCCUCUCAUGCUCUGUCCCCCAGACAUGGUGGCCCAGGCGCUGGAGCUCUCUCGGAAACCGCACGUGGUCAUCGCCACGCCGGGGCGCCUGGCAGAUCACCUGCGCAGCUCCAACACUUUUAGUAUAAAGAAGAUCCGCUUCCUGGUGAGUUCGCCCCGCCCCUGCAGACCUCAGGAGCUGGGCUCGGAGCCUCCAGGCCCAGCAUCAGAGCCUGGGGCACCAUCUCAUCCAUUUAGGAAACGUAUGUCCCUUAGACUGUCCGGUAAAAUGCU
RNAcentral lists this small RNA (761 nucleotides) under Pongo abelii (Sumatran orangutan). RNAcentral's name for it is "retained intron". The record is from RNAcentral. Lineage: Eukaryota; Metazoa; Chordata; Mammalia; Primates; Hominidae.